CUACGGAGGAUGCGAGCGUUAUCCGGAUUUAUUAGGUUUAAAGGGUGUGUAGGCGGUAUUUUAAGUCAGUGGUGAAAUCUCGGAGCUUAACUUCGAAACUGCCAUUGAUACUGGAAUACUUGAGUAUAGUUGAGGUAGUCGGAAUAUGUAAUGUAGCGGUGAAAUGCAUAGAUAUUACAUAGAACACCGAUUGCGAAGGCAGCUUACUAAACUAUUACUGACGCUGAUGCACGAAAGCGUGGGGAGCGAACAGGAUUAGAAACCCUAGUAGUCC
RNAcentral lists this ribosomal RNA (274 nucleotides) under uncultured bacterium. RNAcentral's name for it is "partial 16S ribosomal RNA". It matches the Rfam family "Bacterial small subunit ribosomal RNA", at positions 523 to 796 of the family's 1533-position model. The record is from RNAcentral.